AUACUUACCUGACAGGGGACAUACGAUGAUCACAAAGGUGGUUUUCCCAGGGUGAGAUUUAUCCAUUUUACGGGUUGUGCUGAUCCCUGAAAUUUUCCCAAACAUGGGAAACUCUACUGCAUUAAUUUGUGGUAGUGGGGGACUGUGUUCACAUUCUCCUU
Small nuclear RNA from Sorex fumeus (smoky shrew), 161 nucleotides. RefSeq annotates it as U1 spliceosomal RNA. Lineage: Eukaryota; Metazoa; Chordata; Mammalia; Eulipotyphla; Soricidae. The transcript has a single exon. The record is from RefSeq and is a predicted model, not a curated record.